UGGUACUUAGUUUAAAACAAAACAAGUGAUUUCGACUCACUAGAUUGCGAUCUAAACUCACAAAUACCAA
This 70-nucleotide transfer RNA is filed under the name Pontoporia blainvillei (franciscana). RNAcentral's name for it is "transfer RNA-Arg". It matches the Rfam family "tRNA". From Rfam's summary of the family: Transfer RNA (tRNA) molecules are approximately 80 nucleotides in length. Their secondary structure includes four short double-helical elements and three loops (D, anti-codon, and T loops). Further hydrogen bonds mediate the characteristic L-shaped molecular structure. tRNAs have two regions of fundamental functional importance: the anti-codon, which is responsible for specific mRNA codon recognition, and the 3' end, to which the tRNAs corresponding amino acid is attached (by aminoacyl-tRNA synthetases). tRNAs cope with the degeneracy of the genetic code in two manners: having more than one tRNA (with a specific anti-codon) for a particular amino acid; and 'wobble' base-pairing, i.e. permitting non-standard base-pairing at the 3rd anti-codon position. The record is from RNAcentral. Lineage: Eukaryota; Metazoa; Chordata; Mammalia; Artiodactyla; Pontoporiidae.